This 3807-nucleotide unclassified non-coding RNA is filed under the name Hevea brasiliensis (rubber tree). The record is from RNAcentral. Lineage: Eukaryota; Viridiplantae; Streptophyta; Magnoliopsida; Malpighiales; Euphorbiaceae.
AUGCCCAGAAAAAAAAAAAAAAAACCAAUUAUUGUGAUGGUGAGUUGUUUCCUUUGGAUUUCUUCCAUUUUAUUUACAGAUUUCGCGUCACCUCCCCAAUUUUCCAUCGUCAUUGUCUCUAUUUGCGUAAAACAGCAGAUGCUUUCUCCCUAUUGUUUAUCGCUAGAUUCCUCCGUAGUUGCGUGCCACGUCUCCUUCUCCGUUAUUCUUUCGGCUAGCACGUGCCUGUCAUGUGAUGGCUGGUCUCUUAUAUUCCAUUUUCACAAACCUCCUCCUCCUCUUUAUUGUCCCUGUUUGGUUGUCUUUGUUUUGGUUGUAUUGAUGUGUUUCUUGUUUGUUUAGGGUUUAAUGAUGUGUUUCUUGUUUGAUUAGGACUCGUUUUGUAUUGCUUUAUCCGUUCGAAUCUUUUUUGCCCUUUUCUUUUCCUGCCUAAUUUUGCUGUUAAAUUUUGAUUUGCAGGUUGACGAGGAGAUUCUGGUGGAUAAAGCUGGAAGUUGAUGGAGAAGCAUAUACGAAGGAUUCUUCUUUCUGGAAAAUGCAUUAAGUAAAUUUCCUUGGUCAAUGACAGAAGCAAUUUGCAUUUCUGCUUUAUUUACAUUAAUGUGGCAUCUCCUUUCUUGAAUUUAUGGUGCCAAUUACUUGUGUUUUCUCCAAUCAUUCUUCGAAUUUGUUUUAUUUGUAUGCAUUGCAAAGCUUCGAAGCAAAAAAUUGAUUUGGAAACUUCUGAGCAUAUGCGCACAAACCUUGGCACUUCUUUCUCAUUCCAUCCAAAUGGUUUGCGCAUGAACUUUUUGAAUCAUUAUUCCAAAAGAUGCACUUGUUUAUUCCCCAUUAUUCACAAUCACCCUUAAAUUAAUUCCCGCACUUUCUUCCUUUUGCCUUUUUUUAAAUGGCUACUUUCCCACCUUUGUUAAGGGGAGGAGAUCGCGUUUAUUGACAGAAGUUUGUUGUCUGACAUUAAAACUUCUCUCUCUAAGCCAUGGGACAUGGGAGUGUAAGAUUCAGCACGUCUACUGUGCAGCAGAUUUGUUGGCCAUACUAGGAACCAUCAGAAGAGUACGGUGUUUGACAAUCUCUUUCCAGCUGGAUUCUUAUAAACAGUUCUUAUCCAUACCAACAUAUAAACAAAAAAGAGCAUUGGCCAAUGAAAUAACUUUUAGAUCUCGAUAAGAAAUUUCAAUUAAAAUAAUUCUUUCAUCUGCAUAUUUCCCUUUUAUCAAUUACCUUCAUGGCUUGAAAUUUCGGAUUUUCAACUGACGCACAUAAUAGUACUCUUUGUUCCUUUUCGUGUUCUCAUUAGAGUCUGAGGUAAUAAACACCUUCUUUUGCCUUUCUUAUGUUCUUAUUUCCUUGCAGCUUUUAAGGGUUUUCUUUUCUUUUUGUUUCUUUUUUCUCCUUUUUGGCCUUGUGCUCAUUUUAUCUCCUAAUCUAGACAUAGAUACCCCAUUAUGUGUCUUCUAUUGUGCGUGGGCGUAUUUUACUCGCAGCCCUCAACUUUUGUUGUAAAUCCCACUUUCUUCAGAAUUCUCUCAAAUUUUUUGAGAAAAACUUUUUCUCUGAAAAUAAUAAAAGCUAAUUCUAGUUGCUAAAACUGCAAUGACAGCCUCAGCACUCACCAUUUUUGGUUUGUGAAUCAUGUUGAACCAUCCAACCCAUUGAUCACUUUGUUGAUUACUUCUAGAUAUUUGGUUUGCAAAGAAUUUUUCUUAUUUUUCUCAUGUUCAGUAUUAAAAAAUUAAGCUUGAAAAGGUUGGUAGAAGUACAAUUUGAGUUUGUUGAAAUUUGGAUUUCAAUUUGCAUAAUUAUGGAGCAAAUUUGCAGAAGAAUGGAGAGAGGGUGGGAUAUAAGGGGGAAGGGGAGUUGAAUUGGUGUGUUGUUUUUUUGGGGGGUUGGGGUUGGGGUUGUUGUUUGGAGAGAGAGGAGAGAGAAAUCUUUUUUUGUUCUUUGAUAGGUGUCAUAUCAGCUCUUUAAAUGCGAUAUCUGUUAAAAUUAGAGAAUUUGAUUUUUUUUAUUAAGUUGAUGUUUUUAAAUUUUUGUGAAUUGCAUUGUUACCGAAGUCAAGAAAUGGUGAGUGAUAUCAAGCGGGGCAACGUGAUGAUCUCCAUUCAACGAGUACCAUGUUGGUAGAACAAAGCAAAGCUUCAACCUAGGUGUCUAAAAUACAGGGGUAUGAGGUGUUAUAGGAUAUUACACUUUAGAUUUUGAGAAGAAUUCCGGUGAUUUAAUGGUAAGACCAUAGAAGAUUGUCUUUCGCUCUCCUUGUCCAGGCUUAUUGGAGCAGCUGCUCUUUUGAUCAGGUAGACAUGGUUUGUAGAUGCAAGCCUACUCUUAAUGACAGCUACGGGUUGAUUUAUUCUCUGAUUAAAUUGGAGAAUUACAUUGAGCCUACUCUUAAUGACAGCUAUGGGGUGACUUAUUCUCUGAUUAAAUUGGAGAUUGACAUUGAACAAUUUUGGGGUUUUUUAAUGUUGGUCUUUGAUGCGUCUUGAUCGUCUUCUCCUCCAUCUACAUUUGAUUAAAUAAAACGAUUUUGUUGUUUUAUGCGAAUAAUAUAUGCUUAAAAUUGGAAAGAAUUAUGAUAUUAUAUCCCAUGUUUUAUCUACCACAAUAUGCAUUUAUGCUAAUAUUUUUUGCUUUUAUUUGUGAUAGGGAUUUAUGGGCCAUUAAUGUAACCGGUGAUGAGCGGCUUUCAUUUUGACUAGAUACUAUCAAUCUCUGCGCUAUGAAGGUGGCAUGGCACACAUUCCAAACUAAAAUGCACUGCACCCGUGGUUUUCUUUAAUUACGAGUAGAUAAUUCCAGAAGUGAAAGUUAUGAAAUUGGAAUCAUUUGGUGGGACCGCUGUGCAUCAAUUGAGGCCAUGUCUUCCGGAAUUUAGCGAAACAUGGAAAAGAGUAAAGACGUACCAAGAGGACCAAAUAACAUUUACAUGACAGAAACACCGUAAUGCAAGAGGACCAUACCUUUUGUAGCUCAAUGCUCAUGCUCAUCAAUGAGAAAGGCCAAAGUGGCGCUCCUGCUGCAAGGAGAGGAAAGAGCCAUCAUGAUAAGGCUCUCCACUUACUUAGCCUUCAAAAGAAAGAUUCUCUUCGCUGUCCCUAAUUCUGGGGAGAUGAAAAUCAGAGAGAAAUUAAUUAACGAGCAAAACAAACACGAUGAAAGGGAGUUGAACAUUGUUAUCUUAUGAAAGAUAACGAUAAAAUGAAUUAAUGUGACGGUACCCCACCACCGUGUGUCAUCUUUUCUUUUAUUUCUUUUUUCAACUUGCUCGUAAUGGAGGAUGCCACCCAGGACAUGAGCUUGCUUUUGACAGAGAAAGGAAGAUAUUGAUAGUCAUCAAGUGGCAAUCUCGUGGAUCCCACAGAGCGUUCAAUCCCCAUCUGACACUGUAAGGUCACUGUUUGUUUAAUGAGCUGCAAGCAUCGGUGUGGGGUACUAAGUGAAUAUGGAAAGCAGCGAAGCUGAAAUUGAUGAGGUGUAGGUGGGAUCACUAUUAGUGGACCCCUUGGAAUGUUUAACUUCAAAGUGGGUAUUAUCAAGGGAGGGACAAUUUUUCGUAAUAAUUUAUUUCUUGAAUGUUUGUUUAUGGGUCCAUGUGACUGAAGUGGACAAGAUGAUCUUAUACAAAAAUGAAGCUUUACUGUCCGCAUGUAUUGUCUUGACUUGAUAAUUCUUUUAUAAGGGACGAUGGGGAUUGAGAAGGCGGCUGUUCUUGCGGGGUCAGCUUGUCUGAGUUAUCUCAAAUUAGAUAUUGCCUGUUACAAUUUGAAGAUUUAAAGUUUAUUUAGUUGAAAUUAUUAUUGGAAA